Long non-coding RNA from Haliotis rufescens (red abalone), 516 nucleotides. RefSeq lists it as uncharacterized. Lineage: Eukaryota; Metazoa; Mollusca; Gastropoda; Lepetellida; Haliotidae. The record is from RefSeq and is a predicted model, not a curated record. The transcript is spliced from 2 exons.
CGCCAUGUUUGUUUGUUAACACUGAAAGUUGUCCCUACUUGACUUUUAAUAUUUGCAUAUCUAUCGGCACAUGACCCCCAACGGAUAUCGUUUUUAUCUAACAACCCACCAACAUCUACGUCUUUGACUCGUCUGCUCGAAAUUGACUCCGCGGAUAAGUCGCAUCUGCAAAAGAAGUUGUAGAUUGAUUGGUUUGUUGGAUUCCGAACUACCGACCACAUCUUUUUCGGAGAGGAUGAUAGUGCUAUGACGUCACAGUUAUUCACUGACUUCCGGUGCAGCUCGGGGACAUUCUCAUUCUGCCAACAUUCUGCCAACAUUCUGUCUUUUUUCCGGGCUUAACGGAAAGAGCCGAACGUGAGACUUGGAAUUCUUUUCUCCUCUGUCACGUGGCACGUACAGUGCUGAUAGACCUUGGUAUUUUUUAUUGAAUGGCAACGUAAGUAUUGUCAUCAUAUAUGAAUGUUGCUGUUUCCAUUCUCGUAUUUGUUACUGAGAAAUAAAUGGUUGAUGAUC